This is a transfer RNA of 73 nucleotides. It matches the Rfam family "tRNA". From Rfam's summary of the family: Transfer RNA (tRNA) molecules are approximately 80 nucleotides in length. Their secondary structure includes four short double-helical elements and three loops (D, anti-codon, and T loops).
UGCGUUAUAGCCAAGUUGGUAAGGCAUCGGGUUUUGGUCCCGACAUUCGUUGGUUCGAGUCCAGCUAACGCAG